AGAGUUUGAUCCUGGCUCAGGACGAACGCUGGCGGCGCGCUUAACACAUGCAAGUCGAGCGAGAACCAGGGCUUCGGCCCUGGGGACAGCGGCGAACGGGUGAGUAACACGUGGAUAACCUGCCCUCGGCACCGGGAUAGCCCGAGGAAACUCGGAUUAAUACCGGAUAGCCUUUCCGACUCUCGGGUCGGUUCGAAAAGGUAGCUUCGGCCUCUGGCCGAGGAUGGGUCCGCGGCGGAUUAGCUUGUUGGUGGGGUAACGGCCUACCAAGGCUCCGAUCCGUAGCUGGUCUGAGAGGACGAUCAGCCACACUGGGACUGAGACACGGCCCAGACUCCUACGGGAGGCAGCAGUGGGGAAUCUUGCGCAAUGGGCGAAAGCCUGACGCAGCGACGCCGCGUGAGGGAAGAAGGCCUUCGGGUUGUAAACCUCUUUCAGGAGGGACGAAGCUACUCGGGUGAAUAGCCCAGAGGGGACG
This 478-nucleotide ribosomal RNA is filed under the name uncultured bacterium. RNAcentral's name for it is "bacterial SSU rRNA". It matches the Rfam family "Bacterial small subunit ribosomal RNA", at positions 8 to 479 of the family's 1533-position model. The record is from RNAcentral.